GUCAGGGAUAGCUCACUUGGUAGAGUAUGAGACUCUUAAUCUCAAGGUUGUGGGUUUCAGCCCCACGUUCGGCA
Non-coding RNA from Podarcis lilfordi (Lilford's wall lizard), 74 nucleotides. Lineage: Eukaryota; Metazoa; Chordata; Lepidosauria; Squamata; Lacertidae. The record is from the annotation of a GenBank genome assembly.